GCAGGAGAAUCACUUGAACCCAGGAGGCAGAGGUUGCAGUGAGCCGAGAUUGCACCAUUGCACUCCAGCCUAUACAGCAAAGAGUGAAACUCGGUCUCAAAAAAAAAAAAUUUAUCCUCACAACUUCUCUGUGAGGUUGGUAUCACUAUCACCAUCUUAUAACAGGAAAAUGAAGGUUGGAGAGAUAAGGGCAGAAAUGACCUGGGACCAAAAUGCAGCAGAGUCAGAUUCCAUUUGCUAGAAGGAAGCAAAGCCCAGGAUUGUGGUCAUAGCAAUAACAGUUAAAAGACUGAUCAUAAAAUCUAGAGGCCAAUGAAAGCCUCGGAUGGAUCUGAUGUAAUGGGAAAAAAAGGAGAGAUAAAGAUUCUUUGAGUCUUUUAAAGAAUCUUAUGCAUUCAAAUUACUUAUGUCCCAUAUAUUUUUAAAAGGAACAUAUACAAUACGGUUAAUACGGUAGAAAUAGACAUGUGUGAGCCAUCCAGAUUCACCUACUGAUGCCCUCAACCUUCUAAUGUCCCGUCCUGUUCUGUGUAUUGCUUCCGUCCAUCAUAUGACUUUUUUCAGUAGAUGACGAAAGAAUUUUAAGAUAGCCACAGACCAUAGACUCACAGAAUCUGACUUGGUUGCUAGAAGUUUUUGUGGUUGCAUGGAAUGGUAGCAAGGAGAGUCAGAAGAGAGGGAGGGGAUGAGGAAGAGGCAGAGGUCACGCUGAGGUUUUCAGUUGCGGCACAACUGGCGAGAAAUACAAAGAUUCAGAAGGAAGGUUGUUUAAGUUUGAUGUAAUACUGUGGUUCUUAUGGGAAGAAAUUAAACAGGUAAUUGGAGAGGCUGAACUGAAAAAAGAAAGGAGGUGAGUUCUGGCUGGGCGCGGUGGCUCACGCCUGUAAUCCCAGCACUUUGGAAGGCCAAGGUGGGCGGAUCACGAGGUCAGGAGAUGGAGACCAUCCUGGCUAACAUGGUGAAACCCCGUCUCUACUUAAAAAAAAUACAAAAAAUUAGCCGGGCGUGGUGGCGGGAGGCUGAGGCAUGAGAAUGGCGUGAACCGGGAGGCGGAGCUUGCAGUGAGCCGAGAUCGAGCCACUGCACUCCAGCCUGGGCGACAGAGAGAAACUCCGUCUCAAGAGAAAAAAAAAAAAAUGGAGGUGAGUUCUACAGUUUGGAUGACUUAGGAGCUGAAUUUAUGAACAAGGGAAAAAGAAGAGGCAGAGGGCCAAGGUGUCCUUGGCCCUAACAAGAAUUAGGGAUAUAAAAAAGAACAUGAGGCCAGGAACGGUGGCUCAUGCCUGUAAUCCCAGCACUUUG
RNAcentral lists this long non-coding RNA (1302 nucleotides) under Homo sapiens (human). Its description in RNAcentral is "non-protein coding lnc-ALOX12-2:1". Lineage: Eukaryota; Metazoa; Chordata; Mammalia; Primates; Hominidae. The record is from RNAcentral.